RNAcentral lists this ribosomal RNA (253 nucleotides) under uncultured bacterium. RNAcentral describes it as "partial 16S ribosomal RNA". It matches the Rfam family "Bacterial small subunit ribosomal RNA", at positions 524 to 776 of the family's 1533-position model. The record is from RNAcentral.
UACGUAGGUGGCAAGCGUUGUCCGGAUUUAUUGGGUUUAAAGGGUGCGUAGGCGGUUUUAUAAGUCAGUGGUGAAAUACGGCAGCUUAACUGUCGAGGUGCCAUUGAUACUGUAAGACUUGAGUACUGAUGAGGUAGGCGGAAUUGACGGAGUAGCGGUGAAAUGCUUAGAUAUCGUCAAGAACACCGAUAGCGAAGGCAGCUUACUAAGGAGUAACUGACGCUGAUGCACGAAAGUGUGGGGAUCAAACAGG